This 126-nucleotide ribosomal RNA is filed under the name Triticum aestivum (bread wheat). RNAcentral describes it as "partial small subunit ribosomal RNA". Lineage: Eukaryota; Viridiplantae; Streptophyta; Magnoliopsida; Poales; Poaceae. The record is from RNAcentral.
AUGCAGACAAACAACACCGAAGACGUCUUCAAAACGCUUGAUGAGAUUGAGUUCCCAGAGAUGGUAGAGCCCCUGAGGGCUGCAUUGGAAGGGAAAAACCAUAAUGCUUUCUUACAGCUGCUGUAG